Molecule: ribosomal RNA, 1249 nt
Filed under: Alicyclobacillus sp.
Lineage: Bacteria; Bacillati; Bacillota; Bacilli; Caryophanales; Alicyclobacillaceae
Description: 16S ribosomal RNA
Rfam family: Bacterial small subunit ribosomal RNA
Source: RNAcentral
AACGCUGGCGGCGUGCCUAAUACAUGCAAGUCGAGCGGGUCUCUUCGGAGGCCAGCGGCGGACGGGUGAGGAACACGUGGGUAAUCUGCCUUUCAGGCCGGAAUAACGCCCGGAAACGGGCGCUAAUGCCGGAUACGCCCGCGAGGAGGCAUCUUCUUGCGGGGGAAGGCCCAAUUGGGCCGCUGAGAGAGGAGCCCGCGGCGCAUUAGCUGGUUGGCGGGGUAACGGCCCACCAAGGCGACGAUGCGUAGCCGACCUGAGAGGGUGACCGGCCACACUGGGACUGAGACACGGCCCAGACUCCUACGGGAGGCAGCAGUAGGGAAUCUUCCGCAAUGGGCGCAAGCCUGACGGAGCAACGCCGCGUGAGCGAAGAAGGCCUUCGGGUUGUAAAGCUCUGUUGCUCGGGGAGAGCGGCAUGGGGGAUGGAAAGCCCCAUGCGGGCGUAAAGCGUGCGUAGGCGGUCGAGCAAGUCUGGAGUGAAAGUCCAUGGCUCAACCAUGGGAUGGCUUUGGAAACUGCUUGACUUGAGUGCUGGAGAGGCAAGGGGAAUUCCACCUGUAGCGGUGAAAUGCGUAGAGAUGUCGAGGAAUACCAGUGGCCAAGGCGCCUUGCUGGACAGUGACUGACGCUGAGGCACGAAAGCGUGGGGAGCAAACAGGAUUAGAUACCCUGGUAGUCCACGCCGUAAACGAUGAGUGCUAGGUGUUGGGGGGACACACCCCAGUGCCGAAGGAAACCCAAUAAGCACUCCGCCUGGGGAGUACGGUCGCAAGACUGAAACUCAAAGGAAUUGACGGGGGCCCGCACAAGCAGUGGAGCAUGUGGUUUAAUUCGAAGCAACGCGAAGAACCUUACCAGGGCUUGACAUCCCUCUGACACCCUCAGAGAUGAGGGGUCCCUUCGGGGCAGAGGAGACAGGUGGUGCAUGGUUGUCGUCAGCUCGUGUCGUCAGAUGUUGGGUUCAGUCCCGCAACGAGCGCAACCCUUGACCUGUGUUACCAGCGCGUUGAGGCGGGGACUCACAGGUGACUGCCGGCGUAAGUCGGAGGAAGGCGGGGAUGACGUCAAAUCAUCAUGCCCCUGAUGUCCUGGGCUACACACGUGCUACAAUGGGCGGAACAAAGGGAGGCGAAGCCGCGAGGCGGAGCGAAACCCAAAAAGCCGCUCGUAGUUCGGAUUGCAGGCUGCAACUCGCCUGCAUGAAGCCGGAAUUGCUAGUAAUCGCGGAUCAGCAUGCCGCGGUGAA